ACGCCUCAAUAUAGCAUUACGAUGUGAAAGUCCGGGGUUUCAAACCCUCAAAAUAGCAUUUAUAUCUAUUACUCACCUCUAAUCGACCUCAGACUAGUCCGCAAUGCCCUUUCCUCUUGAAUCGACCUCUUCGCGCGUGGAAUCUAGUCAAAACCACAACGAAUACGUUACAAUAGGCUAAGGGAAUAUAACCCAAUCUAAAAGACUAGAAAAAUGUCGAAAAUCCCGAAAUUAGCAAAACCCGAGCCCCGGGCCCACGUCUCAAAAUUCAGAUAUUUUUACAUCAAUACGACCCUUAUCUCGCCACGAGUCUAUACAUACCAAAUUCAAAAAAAUCGGAGUUCAUUUGACCCCUCAAAUCACCAUUUAAUUUUCUUAAGUUUCAAGCCCUAAACCACCAUUUUUGUCCAUAAAUUACUUGAGUUUUCAGCUCUAAUCCAUGUAUUUAACUUGAAAAUAAGUAGAAACAACUCACCUUUGAUGCUUGAUGAAAUCUCCCUUGAAAUUCUCCCCAAAAUAAUCCAAGCCAAAUGAAAGAAAUGAAAGAAUUAAGUCAAAUCAGUGUUUAAAAGAAUCUGUCCGUG
Molecule: long non-coding RNA, 584 nt
Filed under: Nicotiana tabacum (common tobacco)
Lineage: Eukaryota; Viridiplantae; Streptophyta; Magnoliopsida; Solanales; Solanaceae
Description: long non-coding RNA (NTAB_LNC016403)
Source: RNAcentral